AUGGCUGCCCGAGCUAUGAGAAUAAUCGGCCUCCAACCGCCUCGGCCGCUCACCAACACGCCCACCUGCAGUUCAGUUCAAUCUGGUUUGUUGAAGAAGGUCGACUCUAUCCUGGACAGCACACAGCCUCCUCCCAGUGGGGCCCAUCACGCUCAGGUCGUUCGUCGCUGCCACCUCCGGCCGUUCAACUACGCAGCGCUAAGACGUUCAUCGCCAUCAGAAACAGCGACGAGCACGAAGACACCCCCUCAUGCUCAGUGCUCUGUCCGGCAUAACACAAGAAGUUCAUGUAAAACAGCUGCGAACAUUCAGGUACAUCAAAGAAUAUACUCAUGUGCAUAUAGAUGA
RNAcentral lists this ribosomal RNA (348 nucleotides) under Triticum aestivum (bread wheat). RNAcentral's name for it is "partial small subunit ribosomal RNA". Lineage: Eukaryota; Viridiplantae; Streptophyta; Magnoliopsida; Poales; Poaceae. The record is from RNAcentral.